CCUGACUCCUACGGGAGGCAGCAGUGGGGAAUAUUGGACAAUGGACCUACAGUCUGAUCCAGCAAUUCUGUGUGCACGAUGAAGUUUUUCGGAAUGUAAAGUGCUUUCAGUUGGGAAGAAAGAAAUGACGGUACCAACAGAAGAAGUGACGGCUAAUUACGUGCCAGCCGCCGCGGUAAUACGUAUGUCACGAGCGUUAUCCGGAUUUAUUGGGCGUAAAGCGCGUCUAGGUGGUUAUAUAAUUCUGAUGUGAAAAUGCAGGGCUCAUCUCUGUAUUGCGUUGGAAACUGUAUAACUAG
This 299-nucleotide ribosomal RNA is filed under the name uncultured bacterium. RNAcentral's name for it is "partial 16S ribosomal RNA". It matches the Rfam family "Bacterial small subunit ribosomal RNA", at positions 331 to 644 of the family's 1533-position model. The record is from RNAcentral.